Dalotia coriaria is the source of this 348-nucleotide long non-coding RNA. RefSeq lists it as uncharacterized. NCBI's taxonomy places the organism in Eukaryota, Metazoa, Arthropoda, Insecta, Coleoptera, Staphylinidae. The transcript has 3 exons. The record is from RefSeq and is a predicted model, not a curated record.
CCAUUUUCGCACGCCAGUAUAAAUUCGUCCGUCGUGUAGCACGCGUCGCUCGUCGUUUUAUUCAUAACUUUGCGUUCUUACAAUAUAAAAACGCUGUUUGUACUUAGGUUUCCAUUAAAUUAAAGGUUUGCGCCGUGAUUUAUCUGUUUUAUAUAUUUACUGUCUCAAAAUAGUUGUUAUUGCCAUUGUUUUGAAAAACGAACAUUGUGCACACACACUUUGGACCUUAUCUUCGGCGGUUUUGAAGAAGUAGUAUCAUCAUUUAACCUCGGGCUUAUGCUGCUCUGGAAUGAUUACAACACACAUCAAAAGAAAGCAAUUGCCUUCGAGUUCCGAUGCCGAAUCACG